AUUGAACGCUGGCGGCAUGCCUAACACAUGCACGUCGAACGAGUGGCGGACGGGAGAGUAAUGGCUGGGCCACUGACUGAUGGAGGGGGAUAAAUACUGGAAACGGUGGCUACUACUGCAUACCCUCGCAUCUGCCCAGAUGGUAUUAGCUAGUAGGUGGGUUAAAGGCUCACGUAGGCGACGACACCUAGCUGGUCUGAGAGGAUGACAAGCCAAACUGGAACUGGGGCACGGUCCAGACGCCUACGGGAGGCAGCAGUGGGGAAUAUUGCACAAUGGGCGAAAGUCUGAUGCAGCCAUGCCGCGUGUAUGAAGAAGGCCUUCGGGUUGUAAAGGACUUUCAGCGGGGAGGCGUUACCCGCAGAAGAAGCAACGGCUAACUCCGUGCCAGCAGCCGCGGUAAUAC
This 406-nucleotide ribosomal RNA is filed under the name uncultured bacterium. Its description in RNAcentral is "partial 16S ribosomal RNA". It matches the Rfam family "Bacterial small subunit ribosomal RNA", at positions 30 to 526 of the family's 1533-position model. The record is from RNAcentral.